AUUGAACGCUGGCGGCAUGCCUUACACAUGCAAGUCGAACGGCAGCACGGACUUCGGUCUGGUGGCGAGUGGCGAACGGGUGAGUAAUGCGUCGGAACGUACCCGGUAGUGGGGGAUAACUACCCGAAAGGGUGGUUAAUACCGCAUAUACUGUGCGCAGGAAAGCAGGGGACCUUCGGGCCUUGUGCUACCGGAGCGGCCGAUGUCAGAUUAGGUAGUUGGUGGGGUAACGGCCUACCAAGCCUGCGAUCUGUAGCGGGUCUGAGAGGAUGAUCCGCCACACUGGGACUGAGACACGGCCCAGGCUCCUACGGGAGGCAGCAGUGGGGAAUUUUGGACAAUGGGCGCAAGCCUGAUCCAGCCAUGCCGCGUGAGUGAAGAAGGCCUUCGGGUUGUAAAGCUCUUUCGGACGGAAAGAAAUCGUGCAGGCUAAUACCCUGCGCGGAUGACGGUACCGUCAUAAGAAGCACCGGCUAACUACGUGCCAGCCGCCGCGGUAA
Molecule: ribosomal RNA, 500 nt
Filed under: uncultured bacterium
Lineage: Bacteria
Description: partial 16S ribosomal RNA
Rfam family: Bacterial small subunit ribosomal RNA
Source: RNAcentral